UCGGAAGCUUCCUUGAUAUCCUAGUUCCAGGAAUGGUCUCCCUUUUAGGAGGACUGCAUAGUAUGCACACUUUGGAGAUAAAGUCUGAUCCAGACUUCCGUGCCCCCGAAACUUGUUGGUAUUCAAAGUUUACUAACUCAAUACCAAAAUAUGUGGGUGAUAAGUUUACAAACUUUAUCACACCUCUCACUUGCACUAUCAAUAAAAUUGGACAAAGAAAGAAAUAAGUAAAUGAAGAAGCAAGCUUCUGUGUUGCACAAAACUGCACGACAAACAAGCA
This 280-nucleotide long non-coding RNA is filed under the name Malus domestica (apple). Its description in RNAcentral is "long non-coding RNA (MDOM_LNC013646)". The record is from RNAcentral. Lineage: Eukaryota; Viridiplantae; Streptophyta; Magnoliopsida; Rosales; Rosaceae.